RNAcentral lists this unclassified non-coding RNA (22 nucleotides) under Mus musculus (house mouse). Its description in RNAcentral is "oocyte_clustered_small_RNA14184". The record is from RNAcentral. Lineage: Eukaryota; Metazoa; Chordata; Mammalia; Rodentia; Muridae.
CAAGGACGGAAAUCAUGCCAUA